GCAGAGCAGGGCGGAGAGAGGAGGGAGAGGCCCGCCAGUAUCUCUGCUCUCUGCCUGUCUCUGGCUUCCCCUCACCUCUCCUCCCCCGGCGCGAGGCAGGAGGCCAAUUGUAGACUUUUAGAUGCGUAAGAGACCCAAGUUCCCCCUCCUACGUUUAUUCAUUUUAUUUUAUUUCUUAAUGAGACACAGCACAGAGAGGUGAAGGGGCUUUUCCAAGGUCACACAGCCAGUUAGAGGCUGAGCCAAGAGUAAAAUUUGGUGUCCAUUGCUGUAGUAGAUCUACACCUGGAAUGCAGCCCUUUAGCUCUGCUGCUCCUGAGUCCCUCUAUCCCUUCUUCCUCCUCUACCUCGCCUUCCUGCCUGGGCAUUUUUAAAUAACAACUUUAUUGAGGCGUAAUUCACAUAUUUGCCCCUUUAAAGUCUACAAUUCAAGGUUUUUUUGGUAUGUGGAGAGUUGUGCACCCACAUCAGUUUCAAACCGCUUUCAUCACCCCAAAAAGAAACCCUGUACCCAUUAGCAGUUGCUCCCCAUUCCACCCACCCCACCCCUGGUCCCCCAGCCCUAGGAAACCAUUAAUCUCUAGAUCUGCUGCCUUUUCUGCACAUUUCAUAUAAACGGAAUCAUACAACGUGCAGCCCUUUGUGACUAGCUUCUUCCACUUAGAUUGUCUUCCAGGUUCAUCUAUGUUGUAGCCCUCCAGAUCAGAGCGUCGUUCUGGUCCCAGUAGGCAGAAUAAAGAGGCAGAAGGAAGAAUGAGAAAGAGAAUCCUGAGGGUCCGAGCACAGCGGCACAAUGAAAUGAAGUGCUACCUCUAAUAGCAAAGGAAGAAAAAGACCUACAUGUCCAGGGGAGGGGGCUGGAUAAAGUGUGACACAUCGAUGCGGUGGCUGCAGCUGUAAAACAGCCUGUCGGGAAAUCAGGUGCAUCCAGUGAAGAAAAGCCAUGUGCAGUGUCGAUCACCCUAACGAAGUUGCUAUCACCAUUCACACAGUCGUCCCAGAUAGUCCUGGGACCCGAGAAAUAGCUCACCUCUCCAUUCCCAUCACCUGACUCGUUCCAGCUGCCACUAUCUGGGGGACAACAGAAGAGCAACCUGAUCUUUGUUAAUCUGAUUAAGAAGGUGAGCCUGGGUCUACCUCCUGC
This is a long non-coding RNA of Camelus dromedarius (Arabian camel), 1144 nucleotides long. RefSeq lists it as uncharacterized. The transcript has 3 exons. Lineage: Eukaryota; Metazoa; Chordata; Mammalia; Artiodactyla; Camelidae. The record is from RefSeq and is a predicted model, not a curated record.